Molecule: ribosomal RNA, 305 nt
Filed under: uncultured bacterium
Lineage: Bacteria
Description: bacterial SSU rRNA
Rfam family: Bacterial small subunit ribosomal RNA
Source: RNAcentral
UCCUACGGAGGGCAGCAGUGGGGAAUAUUGCACAAUGGGGGAAACCCUGAUGCAGCGACGCCGCGUGAGUGAAGAAGUAUUUCGGUAUGUAAAGCUCUAUCAGCAGGAACGAGACAAGACGGUACCUGACUAAGAAGCCCCGGCUAACUACGUGCCAGCAGCCGCGGUAAUACGUAGGGGGCAAGCGUUAUCCGGAUUUACUGGGUGUAAAGGGAGCGUAGACGGCAGGGCAAGUCUGGAGUGAAAGGCAGGGGCCCAACCCCUGGACUGCUCUGGAAACUGUCCGGCUGGAGUGCAGGAGAGGG